This 72-nucleotide transfer RNA is filed under the name Apaloderma vittatum (bar-tailed trogon). It matches the Rfam family "tRNA". From Rfam's summary of the family: Transfer RNA (tRNA) molecules are approximately 80 nucleotides in length. The record is from Rfam by way of RNAcentral. Lineage: Eukaryota; Metazoa; Chordata; Aves; Trogoniformes; Trogonidae.
GCCGGGUUAGCUCAGCUGGUUAGAGUGUGGUGCUGAUAACACCAAGGUCGCGGGUUCGAUCCCCAUUCAGUC